RNAcentral lists this transfer RNA (72 nucleotides) under Caudoviricetes sp. RNAcentral's name for it is "tRNA-Arg". It matches the Rfam family "tRNA". From Rfam's summary of the family: Transfer RNA (tRNA) molecules are approximately 80 nucleotides in length. Their secondary structure includes four short double-helical elements and three loops (D, anti-codon, and T loops). The record is from RNAcentral. Lineage: Duplodnaviria; Heunggongvirae; Uroviricota; Caudoviricetes. RNAcentral also lists the same sequence under 1 other name.
ACACCAAUAGCUCAAUGGAUAGAGCAAUGGUCUUCUAAACCAUUUAUCAGAGUUCGAUUCUCUGUUGGUGUA